AAACAUUUAAAAAUGAAUAUUUGCCUAGUAAAGUUUGUUCAUUUGGGAUUUUGUUUUGUUUCUUUAAGCAGCAAAUGAAUCAUUACAUGAAACUCUAAUGCUUGCCUGGUAGAAGGCGGGGUGUGGGAGAGGCUCUUCUUUUUCCUCCCACCCCUGGGGCAACCGAGCCAGCAGUGGCAACCUGAUGGGGUCCCUUUUCAAGCUGUGGAACCUUUGUUCUUUCUCUGUUUGCAAUAAAUCUUGCCACUGCUCACUCUUUGGGUCCACACUGCUUUUAUGAGCUGUAACACUCACCGCGAAGGUCCGCAGCUUCACUCCUGAAGCCAGCGAGACCACGAGCCUACUGGGAGGAACGAACAACUCCCGACGCGCCGCCUUAAGAGCUGUAACACUCACCGCGAAGGUCUGCAGCUUCACUCCUGAGCCAGCGAGACCACGAACCCACCAGAAGGAAAAAACUCCGAACACAUCUGAACAUCAGAAGCAACAAACUCCGGACACGCCGCCUUUAAGAACUGUAACACUCACUGCGAGGGUCCGCGGCUUCAUUCUUGAAGUGAGUGAGACCAAGAACCCACCAGUUCUGGACACAAUUUCAAGUCCUCAGGGUGAGUUUUCCCCAGCUGAGUGAGAAUAUAAAUUAGUCACAGGAGUACCCUGAAUCACUGUUUGGUUGGACUAGUUUUUCUAGGUGAACACUGUGCUGGCUGUGUGGCACAAACUCCUGAUUGGUCAGACUGAAAUUUCCUUGCGGAAGAAAGAGGAGUAUGUUUUUAUUGAAUCCUAUUAUUUCUUAACUCCUAGGACAGACUUCUGCACAGUAAGGGCCUAUCAAAUAUACCUAUUAGGAUAAUUAUAUUAGCUUUUCAGAAGACAGUUACCAGGACUGUGUGAUUUGUGCUUUUCUAUAUUUUUCCCUUUGUGCUUAGCUUAAAUCUAUUUGGCAAUGUUGGUAGUGACUUUCUUGAAUACUGUAAGGUUCUAUGAACAUUAAUCUAGCUAAUUUUAUUUUAUGCCACAGCAAAUUCUCAAAGCAGAAUAUUGGUCUCGGCUGGGCGCAGUGGCUCAUGCCUGUAACCCCAGCACUUUGGGAGGCCGAGGCAGGUGGGUCACCUGUGGUCAGGAGUUCAAGCCUGGCCAACAUGGUGAAACCCCAUCUCUACUAAAAAUUGGCUGGGCUUGGUGGUGCCUUUAAUCCCAGCUACUUGGAAGGCUGGGUUAGGAGAAUUGCUUGAACCCCGGGGGAGAGAGCUUUCAGUGAGUGGAGAUCAUGCCACUGUACCUCAGCCUGUGCCACAGGAGCGAAACUCCGUCUCAAAAUAAUAAUAAUAAUGGUCUCAUGAUACUCAUAAUAGUGGUAGUUUGUGCUCUAAGACUGUCAAUUAUUCUGUAAUAUAUUUGUAUUAGGUUGAGGAGAAAAGAAUUUGGGGAAUCAGAAGAAAGAAAUAAAAAGAAGAAAGGAGGCGGCUGAAAUUUCAAUAGGUCACCCAACAUCAUCCGUUCCUUGCAGCAGAAGCUAGUAUUGUCAUAGAGGAAGACACAAGAGUAGGGAAAAGCAGGAGUCUGUAAAUCAAAAGAGCUCUGUCCUACUCCCAGUGAGCAGUGCAACUGGAAGAAAUUCUAGAACUUCUCUAUGCUCCAUUUUCUAUUUUAAAAACAUUUUUUAAAAACUUUCUUAAUUAUAACACAACCAUCUUUUUGAGUAUAAUUUUUUUCUUCACAAAGUACUAAAGCUACUAGUUAAGCUUCCUUUGUGUAAGCCUCAGAACAGGAAAGUUCUGUUGACAGAGCAAUCUCUUUAUUUUUUUGUUUUAUUUGCCUAUAGGAUGACAUCUUAAAAAUCUCAAAAGCAGAAAAACAUAGCUGAGAAAUGAACAGCUUAUUUAGUCUAACUCAUGGGAAAUGCAGCUAGCACAUGUUAUAAGACUUCUAGAAUUUGUUGAUUCAUGUGAGCAUUAAUGAUCUUUAUUUGAUUUUAAAAAUGAAACUUUCAUUUCAAGCUGCCAAGCCGAAACAUUUGCAUCCUGUACAAAUGAGUACUAAAGGCCCUUUCAUUGGCAGAUUAUUGGCUGUGCUAUGGAAAUGAGAAGAUUGACUCUAUGAAUAUUGUAUCUUUAGCUGUGAUCAACUCAUUCUGAAGAUGACAUGACAUGAUAUGACUGAUCAUAAAAAAUUUAUUGGUCUAUUUUCCAAAGUUUGUUGAGUUACUUUAAAACAUAAAGUUAUAUUUCCCAUUUAAGUUUCUUUCCUUUGAAAACUACAAUGAAUCUUUUUCUGCAAAGACAGAUCUUAAAAAGGUCAGCCAUUUUUAGCCAUUCAUGCAGAAGUACAUCUCACAUUGACAUCAAAAUGGAAAAUAUUUUAAUUAUUUCUUGUUUCACAAAUAAAAAUAAUAAUCAUUGGACUGAGAAAGGUAUAAACAAUUUCUGGUAAACUUUUGCUGAGAAAGCUGUGAGAAAUGAAACUAUCAGGGUAAAACUUAUAAUACCUGCUUAGAUUUCAGACAUAAAGUAAAUUUCCCAGUCAUCAUUUUAAAACAGCUGUGAAGUUCAUUAUAAAUAAUGUUAUAAAUUAUAUGCGAUAAUCUUUUUUUUUUUGCAAUUGUCAGUGUGUUUAUCUCUUGUGAUCCUUCUUUUUUUCCAAAAUUCUAUUAGCCCUAAGGAAAUGUUUACAUUUUGUCAGAAGCUGUUGAGACUAAAGUUUGUGGCUUUUUAACAUAUACAAUGUUAGCAUUAUUCUUUGUUCACUGAACAUCCAUAGCUCUCCCUGUGACAGGCUGUCAAGAAAUAUGUCUCUGAAAAGACAGGUUAGCUCCUCAAAGACAAUCACUGAUGCAAUUCUAAACGAUGUUCUACACCCCACCAGAGUGCCCCUUACUGUUCUCGUGUGCAGUGAUGUGAUGUCUGAACUAUUUGUUUGCUCUGCCAUAAGAUAGCAUUAGCAGAUGUAAUGUGAACAGAUCACUCAUUUGCAGAAAUAUUUAUGGUAGUGCUUUCAAAGGAUCAUUCAAUCUGCAAGUUGCAAUUGGUGAAGCAUGUAGCAAGGACUGUUUCUAAAACCAUGUAGGCUAAAAUGUCAUACUACAAGGCAGUUAAAAUGGUUAAUAUGUGUAUGUCCAGAGAUUAGAAAACACAUGCUGUCAUAUUUGAGCAGAUUCAAUACACGUGCAUUUUCAGUAAAGCAGAAGUAAUCAUCUUAUGUUGAAAGGGCUAGGUUAAAUUGCUUUAAGAAAAAAGCUUCCCUAACACAUACUUUAUGCUGCCCAUCAAGGAAGCUUUCCAUAUCUAAAAUGCAUCUUCUUCUACCUGACAGAGCUUUUUUAACAUAAUAUUGUUUUCUGAGCAAUACUUAAAAUCACACUUCACAGCAUGUGAUUGCAACACAUUUAAAAGUGAAACUGAGCCAGUCCUACUCUUUAUAAGGCUGCUGAUAAAUUUUUCUAUCAUAAUGAGAAACGCCAUAGAAGAUGAAUUAAUUCAACAGAUACACAUAAGUGUGAUUCUGGCCACAAACAAUUGCUUUCAUCCCUGGGAUGCAGCAUCGCAUGCUUUCAUUAAACACCUCACUGUGCUCUAAUUAUUGACAGUCUUUUAGUCCAAAAACAGCCCAGAAGCAGGUCAUAAAACAUAAUGCCCGGCCAAUGGAUGCUGGCAGAUCUUUGUCAAAAGUUUGGCAAAGGUAUCUGAGAAAUCUCUGAGAGGAUAAGAAGAGAAAACUAAAUACAUGCGGCUAAAAGCUAGGGAAUACCACAGGGAUCUGACUUUUGGACACUUCUUAAUAUAAUACUUUCAUUACUUUGGGCUACUUAGCGCAGUGAUAAUUUACUAAACAGAAGCAAUUUACUAAAGAGACUCCAGAAAUGUAAAAGAAUUAUUGCACCUCUGGAAAAAGUACAUAACAUUCCCUCUGAAAAGAUGAGACCCAGCAUUUCCAAUAAAGUUGAUUUACUACUUAAUGCGCCUCUGAAACAGCGUGGUGUUGGUUCAGAGAGCAGUUUGCAGCAAUUCGAUUUACACUAAUCAAAUGAAAUGGUACAUUUUCCUGACACCUAAAUGAAGUACACAUUUUAAAAAAUUACUUAAGAAAAUAGAUAUUUGAAAUAUUUAGUCAUUGUGAUGGAAGCUAGCAGACAUUUCACACUUUAAAUGGAUGGCUUCUAGUUGUCUCUAAAGAUACAUCUUUGUAAUCAUCCAUCUUGUAAGUUUGCUUUUAGAAAUAAAAUCUCAUCCUUCUAAUUGUGUUUAACCUUAUGUCAAAAAUAUUUUAAAUACAGUCCUGUGUCACUUAACAAUGAGGAUACACUUCUGAGAAACACAUCAUUAGGCAAUUUUGUCAUUGUGCAAACAUCACAGAGUGUACUUAAUAGAUGUCAUAGCCUGCUAGAUUUACCCAGGCUAUGUGGUACAGCCUAUUGCUUCUAGGCUACAAGCCUGCAUGUCGUGUUACUGUACAGAAUACUGUAGGCAAUUAUAACACAAUUGUAAGUAUUUGUGUAUCUAAACAUAGAAAAGUACAAUAAAAUAUAGUAGUACAAUCUUAUGAGACCACCAUGAUAUAUACAGUAAUGGUGUUAUGUGGUGCCUAACUAUAUAUUUAAGAGACCUCGUGAAUAGAAUGAGAAAGUAUAGCCAAAUAGGAGUUCUAAAAAAUUAUAUAAGAAAUGAUGCCAUUAAAUAUUUUUCUUAAAAGGUGAUGGGUGUUUGUGUAAGGGCAGAAAUUUUGUAAGGUUUAUAUUACGCUUACAGGUACUGAACACCUGCUACAUGCUGGUUAUGGUCCCAGGUGCUUAAAUUACAAAAUUGUACACAACAUACUCCUUUUAUUUAACAAAUGUAACUUUAUUAUUGGAAAUCAUUUGGUGUCACAGAAUCGUGUAAGAGAGCAUCCAAACCAGAUCUGGCAUGUUAAGGAGAUCUCCAAAAUCCUGAACUGAGGUGGAAAAACAAAGAUGUAGUUGUUUCCAGGAUAUGAGUAGUAUGUGUCUUUUUGGGCACAAGGGGCAAUGAGCCUGGGGGUGAACCCAGGUAGAAAGUGUAGAAAAUGUGGCUUGGACAAAAGCACCAGUAUGUGAACUUGUCCUCCUGAUGGGAUAGGGAAAGUACCGGGCAAGGGGGAGAGUCAGAUGGAGUCGGGUGGGACUUGGUGAGGUGAUGUCACAUUACAAAGGACUCAUUGACAUGCUAGACACCCAAAUCUAACUCUGUGUGUCAUGAGGAAUUGUAAAAGGCUUUUAAGCAAGGUACUGACAUGGUCGUAGUCUUUUAGAAUGAGAAAUGAGGAAGAAUUGAAAUGAAUACAAAAUGGACACAGGGAGAUAAAUUAGAAGACUGAUAUAGUAAAGGUGAAGACCUCAACUGAGUCAGUCACUGUAGGAGAGAAGAUUCUACAGAUACUAAAGCAGUAGAAUCAGAUUCAACUCAAGACAAAUUCUAUGGAGAAGGUGAAUGAGAAGGAAUACUCAAAUACAAAAUCUGGUCUCAGAUUUGCUUUUUUUUGUAAAGAUAACUAGACGAGAUAUUAUUGACCCUAGCCAAAAAUAAGAGAAGAAAGAGGAGGGGUAAUUUGGGGGGAAGAAAAUAAAUAUAUUGUGUUGAAUGCUGGCCUGGAGCUUAUUAAAUGAGAUUUGGGCUGUGAUAUGGAUUUUAAAGUCACUGGAGUGAAAAAGAUUAUUAAAUUUAUGUAUGUGGAAGAUAUCUAGGGAAAAUAUUUGAAGAGAAACAGCUCCAGGAAAGCAUAUUAGGAAAAAACACAUGCAUAACUACUAUUGAAGGAAUGUAAAUCUAUACAGCCAACUUUAAAAACACAUCCAGAAAAGCUGAAGAAGAGAAGAAUACUUUACAGAAAAAAGAGAAAGAAUUUCAAGAAAGUCAAAGUCAUUUAAGAUAUUUGAGAACUACAGAGAAGUAAAUUAACAUAAAGAUUGAAGAAAGAUCACCUAAAUAAAGAAGUAGUUGCAAGGAAGAAGCUGAGAUGAGAGAGACUGAUGGCAGCGUGCUGGGGGAAGAAAGAGAGGAGAAAGUGAUGCCAUGAAGAGGAAGCAAGCAAGAGGAAAAAGAGGGGGGACAGCUCCUAGAGGAGGUAGGACCCAGGGAUGUGGUUAUUUGUAUAAGAGGGAGGUUUGAACAAGUUGAUUAUGUUGAGAAUGCAAAUUGUAUUAGUCUGUUCUAAUGCUGUUAAUAAAGACACACCUGAGACUGGGUAACUUAUAAAUGAAAGAGAUUUAAUUGACUCACAGUUCCACAUGGCUGGGAGGACUCACAAUCAUGGCGGAAGAGCAAGGGACUUCCUUACGUGGCAGCAGGCAAGAAGGAAAAUGAGACAGAAGCGAAAGUGGAAACCCCUUAUAAAACCAUCAGAUUUUGUGAAACAUUCACUACCACAGGAAUAGUAUGGCAGAAAUUUUGUAACAUUUAGAUUACAUGUACAGAUACUGAACAGCUGCUAUAUGCCAGUUGGCUGAGUAGUAUUCCAUUGUGUAUAUAUGCCACAUUUUUAAAAUCCAUUCAUCUCUUGUUAGACACUUAGGUUGUUUCCAUAUCUUGA
RNAcentral lists this long non-coding RNA (6543 nucleotides) under Homo sapiens (human). RNAcentral describes it as "HSALNT0044185". Lineage: Eukaryota; Metazoa; Chordata; Mammalia; Primates; Hominidae. The record is from RNAcentral.